Molecule: ribosomal RNA, 498 nt
Filed under: uncultured bacterium
Lineage: Bacteria
Description: partial 16S ribosomal RNA
Rfam family: Bacterial small subunit ribosomal RNA
Source: RNAcentral
GACGAACGCUGGCGGCAUGCCUAAUACAUGCAAGUUGAACGAUGAUAUUCCCUGCUUGCAGAGAAUUGAAGAGUAGCGAACGGGUGAGUAACACGUGGGGAACCUGCCCAUGAGAGGGGGAUAACAUUCGGAAACGGAUGCUAAUACCGCAUAAUGCUUUGGACCGCCUGGUCCAGAGACGAAAGACGGCUUUUGCUGUCACUCAUGGAUGGCCCCGCGCCGUAUUAGCUAGUUGGUGAGGUAAUGGCUCACCAAAGCUGUGAUACGUAGCCGACCUGAGAGGGUGAUCGGCCACACUGGGACUGAGACACGGCCCAGACUCCUACGGGAGGCAGCAGUAGGGAAUCUUCCACAAAGGGCGAAAGCCUGAUGGAGCAAUGCCGCGUGAAUGAAGAAGGUCUUCGGAUCGUAAAGUUCUGUUAUUAGAGAAGAACAAGUCAAGGAGUAACUGUCUUGACUUUGACGGUACCUAACCAGAAAGUCACGGCUAACUACGUG